AUCGCUUCUCGGCCUUUUGGCUAAGAUCAAUAUCUGUUCUCUUAUCAUCUUAAUAUCUGAUACGUCCUGCAUCGCAGGACCAGAAUAUUAAACUGAUUUUUGGAAAAUGACGGAGUGCUAGGAGCUUGCUCCACCUCUGUCACGGGUUGGCCCGGUAUUGCAGUACCUCCGGAAUCGGCCCACCUUAA
This 188-nucleotide small nuclear RNA is filed under the name Zootermopsis nevadensis. RNAcentral's name for it is "U2 spliceosomal RNA". It matches the Rfam family "U2 spliceosomal RNA". From Rfam's summary of the family: U2 is a small nuclear RNA (snRNA) component of the spliceosome (involved in pre-mRNA splicing). Lineage: Eukaryota; Metazoa; Arthropoda; Insecta; Blattodea; Termopsidae. The record is from Rfam by way of RNAcentral.